RNAcentral lists this ribosomal RNA (408 nucleotides) under Triticum aestivum (bread wheat). RNAcentral describes it as "partial small subunit ribosomal RNA". Lineage: Eukaryota; Viridiplantae; Streptophyta; Magnoliopsida; Poales; Poaceae. The record is from RNAcentral.
AUGUUUCUCCCGCCUCCACUCACACCCGUCGUCCACUCGCACCUCGCUCCACUCACACCCAACAUCCGAGGUCAAGCUUUGAUGUGCCUGCUCUGGAUCUGGCGACGGAGGCGGUGGAUGCGGGAGAUGGGGAGGAGGCCAUCGCGGUGGUGUGCCUGGACCACAUCCUCAAGCACGCCAGUGGCGCCACGGAGGAGGCCGAGCGCAUCCGCCACUGCCACAACACCGACGGCUCCAUGGAGUACUGGCUCGAGCCGGACGAGCUCGCGGCCCUGCGCCGGGAGGUCGGCGCCGACCCGUACUGGGUGCCGCCAGGGUGGAAGCGCGGAGACCCCGUGUCCGCUGAUUGCUACGCGCUCAAUGCAAAGAUGCAGGUGGAGGAGCACAGCAAGGAGCUCGCCGGAGUAA